RNAcentral lists this long non-coding RNA (1490 nucleotides) under Gadus morhua (Atlantic cod). RNAcentral describes it as "lncRNA (ENSGMOG00000027394.1)". The record is from RNAcentral. Lineage: Eukaryota; Metazoa; Chordata; Actinopteri; Gadiformes; Gadidae.
GUUUUCCUUUCUUGAUGGGUACCCUCCAAGGGUUCGUUGGCCUUUUGUUUGGCCUUCAGAUCGUCACACAUGCAAUGGGCUUUAGUAGUGGGGGAUUUGUUGAGUCUUGCACUUCCCUGUUGCCUGACCAUUCAUUCGGUGGCGUAGGUUUUUCCCCACAGAGCGGCCCACUACCUUAUAAGGUCAAUGCCAUUGCCGGUGAGGGGGAGUCAAUUAUCGUGAGACUAGGAGGCACGUCACCUGAUGCUCCACGAUUUACAGGGUUCAUGGUGGAUGUCCGGAAAUCAGAAAAUGUUCCUGCCAUGGGAAGUUUUGUUGAGUUUGGUCCUGGAAGUACUGGCUUGAAGUGCAAUGGCAUUCAGGAUUCUGCUGUUACUCAAAAAUCAAACGUUCCAAAGACUUUUGUACAAGUUAAAUGGCAAGCACAGGAAAAUGGAUCCUCUUCAUUAUUUUUGCGAGCCACAUUUGUUGACGAGUUCACCAUUUUUUGGAGCCCAGUGAAUGUCAAUGUCACUAUCAAGACACCAGCAACAACAACGCCAUCAACUACAACACUAACUUCCGAGCAAAGUACAGAACAACCAACUACAGAACAACCAACUACAGAACAACAAACUACAGAACUACCAAAUACAGACCAACCAAGUACAGAACAACCAACUACAGGACAAACAAUAACAGAACAAACAAGUACAGAACAACCAAGUACUACACUUGGUACACAAUCAACUACCAUACUUGCGACGCAACCAAGCACUAUACAACUCACUACUACACUUGGUACAAAUCCAAGUACUACACAAGGUUCAACACCAGCUCCCGAGGGUCCCAGCAGCACUCCUGAUCUCGGGCAGCCGUCAGACAACGGGCUGUCAAGGCUUUAUCAGGCCGUGGCGUCCCUGAUCUGCAGCCUCACAAUUAACGGGCAUUGCUUCCUGCAGCCACCAACCAUGAAGUUAGUCAGAAUUUUGCAGUGGACUCUCUCGCUGGCAGCCGAGACCAUAUCGUUGACUUUACUUUGUUUCUGGGACUCUGGCUAUGUCCCUCCCAUUGCACUUGUGUCUGUUGUGCUGUUUACUAGUCUUUUAGGUUAUUGCUUGUUGAUAGCUUCUCUGGCCAUUGGACCCAGUCAUGAAUUGAAAAAAAUCCAUGAUGGUGUUUCCAAACUGGUUACUAUCCUUCACGAGGUGCUCCUCCUUGCUGCAAUUUUCCUGUGUCUUUGGAAGAUCAAGGAGAGUGAUGUUAUGAAGAUUUGCUGUGACAGCUUCUUGCUUCUGGGAGCAAUGGCUGGUUAUGCUGCAUGGAGGUUCCUCUUCAUCCUAAUUUUCCUAUUGAUUAUUUUUCUUUUCAGAACAACAAUGGCACAAAGAAAUCGAAGAGGAAAUGAUUAUACUGAUAGCAGAUGUAGGAAGAGCACAGUCAUCAUCUUAAACCUUGGAAAUAUAGCAUUUGCUAUUGCUUUGAUUGUUCUGAUGUUUCCUUGCUUCUAA